This 271-nucleotide unclassified non-coding RNA is filed under the name uncultured fungus. RNAcentral describes it as "partial contains small subunit ribosomal RNA, internal transcribed spacer 1, and 5.8S ribosomal RNA". The stretch from base 1 to 73 matches the Rfam family "Eukaryotic small subunit ribosomal RNA", at positions 1759 to 1831 of the family's 1831-position model. Lineage: Eukaryota; Fungi. The record is from RNAcentral.
ACAAACUUGGUCAUUUAGAGGAAGUAAAAGUCGUAACAAGGUUUCCGUAGGUGAACCUGCGGAAGGAUCAUUAAAGAUUCUCUAAUCGGCUGUGCGCUUCGGCUGCACGUCGGUUUCAAACCACACACACACACACCUGUGCACCUCGGGCGUGGAAACGCGCCCGCCUUUAACAUAUAACUAGCAAACCGGAAUGUCUCAACUAUAAAAAAAAACAUAUACAACUUUCAACAACGGAUCUCUUGGCUCUCGCAUCGAUGAAGAACGCAGC